Molecule: non-coding RNA, 136 nt
Organism: Pseudomonas lutea
Lineage: Bacteria; Pseudomonadati; Pseudomonadota; Gammaproteobacteria; Pseudomonadales; Pseudomonadaceae
Source: Rfam
CAUCGGGGCUUUGCCUUGACUGGGGGCGGGAUCCUCUUUAGACUCUUGUACCCCUAAAUCUGGCGGGACGCUUGUCCUGCCAUUUUGCUUUUCUUGUAAGACAAUAGCGUCGCAAGACAACAGUGGAGCUAGUAGA